GACGAACGCUGGCGGCGUGCUUAACACAUGCAAGUCGAACGGAAAGUCCCUGCUUUUGUGGGGUGCUCGAGUGGCGAACGGGUGAGUAACACGUGAGUAACCUGCCCUUGACUUUGGGAUAACUUCAGGAAACUGGGGCUAAUACCGGAUAGGAGCUCCUGCUGCAUGGUGGGGGUUGGAAAGUUUCGGCAGUUGGGGAUGGACUGGCGGCUUAUCAGCUGGUUGGUGGGGUAGUGGCUUACCAAGGCUUUGACGGGUAGCCGGGCUGAGAGGGUGACCGGCUGCAUUGGGAAGGAGACACGGCCCGAAAUCGUACGGGAGGAAGCAGUGGGGGAUCUGGCGGAACGGGCGAAAGGAUUACGCAGCCAUGCCGCGUGAAUGAUGAGGGUAUUAGGAUUGUAAAGUUCUUUCACCGGGGAAGAUAAUGACGGUACCGGGAGAAGAAGCCCGGGCUAACUUCGUG
Molecule: ribosomal RNA, 463 nt
Filed under: uncultured bacterium
Lineage: Bacteria
Description: partial 16S ribosomal RNA
Rfam family: Bacterial small subunit ribosomal RNA
Source: RNAcentral